Molecule: transfer RNA, 56 nt
Filed under: Fukomys damarensis (Damara mole-rat)
Lineage: Eukaryota; Metazoa; Chordata; Mammalia; Rodentia; Bathyergidae
Rfam family: tRNA
About the family: Transfer RNA (tRNA) molecules are approximately 80 nucleotides in length. Their secondary structure includes four short double-helical elements and three loops (D, anti-codon, and T loops).
Source: Rfam by way of RNAcentral
UAGCUCAGCGGUAGAGCACGUGCCUAGCAUGCACGAGACUGGGGUUCAAUUCCCAA